CGGAAAGCCUGAUCCAGCAACGCCGCGUGAGGGAUGACGGCCUUCGGGUUGUAAACCUCUUUCAGCAGGGACGAAGCGCAAGUGACGGUACCUGCAGAAGAAGCACCGGCCAACUACGUGCCAGCAGCCGCGGUAAUACGUAGGGUGCGAGCGUUGUCCGGAAUUAUUGGGCGUAAAGGGCUCGUAGGCGGUCUGUCACGUCGGGAGUGAAAACUCAGGGCUUAACCCUGAGCCUGCUUCCGAUACGGGCAGACUAGAGGUAUGCAGGGGAGAACGGAAUUCCUGGUGUAGCGGUGAAAUGCGCAGAUAUCAGGAGGAACACCGGUGGCGAAGGCGGUUCUCUGGGCAUUACCUGACGCUGAGGAGCGAAAGUGUGGGGAGCGAACAGGAUUAGAUACCCUGGUAGUCCACACCGUAAACGUUGGGCGCUAGGUGUGGGACUCAUUCCACGAGUUCCGUGCCGCAGCUAACGCAUUAAGCGCCCCGCCUGGGGAGUACGGCCGCAAGGCUA
RNAcentral lists this ribosomal RNA (511 nucleotides) under uncultured Actinomycetes bacterium. RNAcentral describes it as "bacterial SSU rRNA". It matches the Rfam family "Bacterial small subunit ribosomal RNA", at positions 376 to 896 of the family's 1533-position model. Lineage: Bacteria; Bacillati; Actinomycetota; Actinomycetes. The record is from RNAcentral.